This 281-nucleotide long non-coding RNA is filed under the name Olea europaea subsp. europaea. The record is from RNAcentral. Lineage: Eukaryota; Viridiplantae; Streptophyta; Magnoliopsida; Lamiales; Oleaceae.
CUUAUUCGGUGUUUUCGAAUACUCACUCUUACAAACUGAUCGAUUAAAAUUGUGGAGGGCAGUGAUGCGAGCUGCCAAGUGAAUUGUAGUAACAAAGAAUAAAUUUUCCAUUAAGUUUUUCUUCUUUCAUAAUUAUUUAUUAAUUUUAAGACAUGUUUAUUGUUAUUUUCUAGAUACAACGGUUAUGUUUAAUUUAAAUUCAUGAAUGCCGCAGUUAUUACUUUUGAAAAAAAAAUUUUAAUUUUGAUCUUUUCGCGUGUAAAAUAAUGAAAAAAUGAAUU